Molecule: ribosomal RNA, 715 nt
Filed under: Fictibacillus barbaricus
Lineage: Bacteria; Bacillati; Bacillota; Bacilli; Caryophanales; Fictibacillaceae
Description: bacterial SSU rRNA
Rfam family: Bacterial small subunit ribosomal RNA
Source: RNAcentral
GCAGUCGAGCGAAUGACGAGGAGCUUGCUCCUCUGAUUUAGCGGCGGACGGGUGAGUAACACGUGGGUAAUCUGCCUGUAAGACGGGGAUAACUCCGGGAAACCGGGGCUAAUACCGGAUAAUAAGAAGAAACGCAUGUUUCUUUUUUGAAAGUCGGUUUCGGCUGACACUUACAGAUGAGCCCGCGGCGCAUUAGCUAGUUGGUGAGGUAACGGCUCACCAAGGCGACGAUGCGUAGCCGACCUGAGAGGGUGAUCGGCCACACUGGGACUGAGACACGGCCCAGACUCCUACGGGAGGCAGCAGUAGGGAAUCUUCGGCAAUGGGCGAAAGCCUGACCGAGCAACGCCGCGUGAGCGAUGAAGGCCUUCGGGUCGUAAAGCUCUGUUGUUAGAGAAGAACAAGUACGAGAGUAACUGCUCGUACCUUGACGGUACCUAACCAGAAAGCCACGGCUAACUACGUGCCAGCAGCCGCGGUAAUACGUAGGUGGCAAGCGUUAUCCGGAAUUAUUGGGCGUAAAGCGCGCGCAGGCGGUCUCUUAAGUCUGAUGUGAAAGCCCACGGCUCAACCGUGGAGGGUCAUUGGAAACUGGGAGACUUGAGUGCAGGAGAGAAAAGUGGAAUUCCACGUGUAGCGGUGAAAUGCGUAGAGAUGUGGAGGAACACCAGUGGCGAAGGCGGCUUUUUGGCCUGUAACUGACGCUGAGGCGCGA